Molecule: long non-coding RNA, 284 nt
Filed under: Manihot esculenta (cassava)
Lineage: Eukaryota; Viridiplantae; Streptophyta; Magnoliopsida; Malpighiales; Euphorbiaceae
Description: long non-coding RNA (MESC_LNC003769)
Source: RNAcentral
CCCCUCUUUUUUAGAUGCUGUACUGCACGCUUAUAUAGGCUAAUAUCAGAAAAUGCUUACUGCUUAGUGACAUAGGUGACAAUAAAUUUGUAUCUAAUCAAGUUCAAGUCUAAUAAAUUUGUAUCUAAUCAAGUUCAGGUCUAAAACAUAAGCAGCAUAACAAAUUGAACUCGUAGCUUGUGCAUAGUUCAGAAUUUAAAUUUCCAGGACUCCCAAAGUAUAAUAAAAAAGGGGAAAAAAGACAAGAUUUUUUUUUCCAAAAGAGAACUUUUAACCAAAGAGAU